CCUGGCUUAGAACGAACGCUGGCGGCGUGCUUAACACAUGCAAGUCGAACGCGAAAGGGACUUCGGUCCUGAGUAAAGUGGCGCACGGGUGAGUAACGCGUAGAUAACCUGUCUUCAUGUCUGGAAUAAUACGCCGAAAGGGGUACUAAUACCGGAUAUUCUUGCUUUUCAUAAGUUAUGCAAGCAAAGGUGGCCUCUGCAUAUGCUACUGCAUGAAGAGGGGUCUGCGUACCAUUAGCUAGUAGGUGGGGUAAUGGCCUACCUAGGCGACGAUGGUUAGCGGGUCUGAGAGGAUGAUCCGCCACACUGGCACUGGAACACGGGCCAGACUCCUACGGGAGGCAGCAGUGAGGAAUAUUGCGCAAUGGGGGAAACCCUGACGCAGCGACGCCGCGUGAGUGAGGAAGGCCUUCGGGUCGUAAAGCUCUGUCAAGAGGAAAGAAGUGUACAAUGGCUAAUACCUGUUGUAUUUGACGGUACCUCUAAAGGAAGCACCGGCUAACUCCGUGCCAGCCGCCGC
RNAcentral lists this ribosomal RNA (520 nucleotides) under uncultured bacterium. RNAcentral describes it as "bacterial SSU rRNA". It matches the Rfam family "Bacterial small subunit ribosomal RNA", at positions 18 to 518 of the family's 1533-position model. The record is from RNAcentral.